This 23-nucleotide small nuclear RNA is filed under the name Arabidopsis thaliana (thale cress). RNAcentral describes it as "snRNA_10287". The record is from RNAcentral. Lineage: Eukaryota; Viridiplantae; Streptophyta; Magnoliopsida; Brassicales; Brassicaceae.
UGAAUCUGGUGAAGGAGAUGCAC